AUUUUAUUGUAAUUGUGCAUUUUAUUCUUACAUUUUAUCACUAAAACUAUGUGACAUUCUUGAUUUUAGACCAAAAAUAGAAAUAUACCAUCAUGCCACAGAGUUAUAAGAGGAAGACAGGCAGGGCAUACUGUAUGGAGAAGGAGCAGAACAUGAAGGCACUAGCAGUAAUGUUUCACGGUCUAAGUCCCAUGAAAUGCUGUGAACUUGCUCUUGAGUACGCAAAAAUAAAUGACAUCGAUAUCCCUGCCAGCUGGAUCAGAGAGGAAAAAGCAGAUUUGGUUAAGGGUGCAUUUAUUUAUAAAAAGGGAAAAAAGUAAAAGGGAAGAUUAACAAUUAUUUCCCCAGGAAUGCUCAAUGCAGAUAAGAGAAGCACAAUGGGUACUUAUUUAGAGCGUAUAGCUUCAACUUAUCUAAAGACAAGGGACUCAAGGGCUCAAUAAGGGACAAUUUAAGAGAUAGGCUAAUAAUACUAAUAAACUUUUAAUAUUUUCUAGGAUAUGAUUGGUUUGGAGCCUUUAAAGUAUGCCGUCAUUUGUCAUGCCGCACUCCUGAAGCAACCUCUGUUGGUAGAGCUACUGCAAUUAAUAGGCACAACGUGGGGGAGUUCUUUGAUAACCUAAAGUGAUGGACAGGUAUGACUUCCUUCCACACAAGAUCUACAACGUGAAUGAAACUGGUGUGACAACGGAAAAUGACCUUUGAUGUGCUCAUGUGGUGCAAUAGGCUUGUAGAAAAUUGGCCUUUGAUGUUGUAAAAUAACUUUAAAUAAACCUUAAAUGAGUAAUUUUGUAUUGAA
Molecule: long non-coding RNA, 799 nt
Organism: Alosa sapidissima (American shad)
Lineage: Eukaryota; Metazoa; Chordata; Actinopteri; Clupeiformes; Clupeidae
Exons: 2
Source: RefSeq, a predicted model, not a curated record